RNAcentral lists this small nuclear RNA (107 nucleotides) under Suricata suricatta (meerkat). The record is from RNAcentral. Lineage: Eukaryota; Metazoa; Chordata; Mammalia; Carnivora; Herpestidae.
GUACUCGCUGAGGCAGCACAUAUACUAAAAUUGGAACGUUACAGAGAGGAUUGGCAUGGCCCCUCCGCAAGGAUGACACGCAAAUUCGUGAAGCAUUCCAUAUUAAA